Molecule: non-coding RNA, 74 nt
Organism: Nylanderia fulva
Lineage: Eukaryota; Metazoa; Arthropoda; Insecta; Hymenoptera; Formicidae
Source: the annotation of a RefSeq genome assembly
GUCUGAAUAGCUCAGUUGGAAAGAGCAGUCGCCCGGUAAGCGAAAGGUCUCGAGUUCGAUUCCCGAUUCAGCCG